Molecule: non-coding RNA, 1820 nt
Organism: Delphinapterus leucas (beluga whale)
Lineage: Eukaryota; Metazoa; Chordata; Mammalia; Artiodactyla; Monodontidae
Source: RefSeq, a predicted model, not a curated record
AGGAGGGAUGUGAUCUCUGUUCUCACAAAAUUCUCACUGCAGAAAGACAUGUUAUAGUCACGAAAAUAUAACAAAAAUAUAAAAGAUAUAUACACAAACUGCAAUGGGACAAUGGCUAAGCUUAAAAAUGGAUAAGUCCUAUUGUCAAACUAUUUUAAGAUUCCCAAAAAGGAGCAGCUAACUUACGCAGACAUUUCAAGUUGAACUGGGUCCACAUACAUUGCACAAUAUUAGUCAAUACCUAUCAGAGCCAAAUAAAUUUCCUUCCCAAACAGGUGAUGAUUUUAAAAAUUUGAUGUAAAUUCAUUUGAAAGGCCAAGUUUUAUCAUAUUGCAGACACAGCACUAAUAUGGAUUUGGCUCCUAGUAUUGGGUGGAUUUCUGAAGUGGCAGGAUUGUGUCCUUUUUCUGCUACAUUUCCUACAGAGUGACUUCACAGUACUGAAAGUGGCUGAACAUCAAUAAAGGUUUGCUGAAUGUUUGUCUUAUGUUUUAGCAAUGGAACAUUUGGUUUUAAGAAACAAAUCCACUGAAACUCGUUUAAAUACAAAAGGAAACAGGCUGAAAAGGAACAAGGCUAUUUCAUGGAACCCAAGGGCAGGAAAUACAGCUGGACAGUAAAAGGGAUCAGAACCGGAAGUAGGAAAACAUUCAGAUCAAGGUCUUCUACUCCAAGCACACAAUUGAGACUGAAAGUCUGCAGCCCAAAUGGUUCAGCCAAGAACAUGAAUCAGCCGCCCCCAGGCCUGGGGUCCCCAUCCUUGUCUACUCAGCUGAUGUCAAAAGACCAACUCAAAUUCUAUGAAUAUGUCUACCUCUAGAGGGGCUUCAGAGCAAGGAGACACUCCAAAAGAUGCUGCAUCCACUGUGCAUGUCAUCCUCAACAUCCCAGCUGAACAGAGCUCUAAAGCUGAACUCUCUUGCUUAUGGCAGAAAAACAAUACAUAUGAAGUAUUCUGGAAGCUGCAUUCCAGACUGACAAGGGAAUGUGAAUGGGCUUGUGGACCAAUGAAGUGACUGGUUAGUGCAUAAGCAAAGGAACGACAAGACAUAAGAUCACCAAAGCAGAAACUGAGUCAAGAAGGAGGAAAGAUGAAUAUAUUUAGUGGUCUCAAGUUCAAAGCAGAAAGAAAGAACAUUCUAAAAAGAAGAAUCAAAAACAAAGAGACAGUAAAUUAAAAAGGAGGCAAGUGAUAUAGUGUAGGAAUAUGACAAUGUGACUAAAUAGAAGCAUUUACAGUUAGCAAAGUCAAAGGAAAAACAGAUCGAUGGGGAAGAAUUUGGACCAGCUCUUCUAUAAGGGGAAGUGCAGAGAAGGCAGACAGUGCAAGGAAGACAUCAUCGUGCACACAGCCACUAACUCCAGCCAAUUUUCUCCUGCACUACAACUAAGUGAUGUAAACAAUAUAGAGUAUAUCUGGAAAACUAUAUCAGACACUGGGAGUGGUCAACGUCUCUAGAGAAGAGAGGGGGUGACUGGGGGGAACCAGGACCCAGUAGUGGUAGGGAGAGAAAGAACACUUUUUUACUACAUGUUUUUUCUACAUGUAAUACUACAUCAAACAAUUUGUUAUAAUUUGUACACAUAUAUUUAUAAAUAUUAAUUUUAUCAGUGAUGAGAUAACUUUAUUAUUUUUCCCAAUCAUAAUCCACAUUUUAUAAUUAAUAUUUAACACGGAUAUACAAAAUUAAAUUAAAAACUCAAAUUCUACUUCCGAUUCAUUGAUGGGUUAAAGUGAAUUAAAUUCCAAAGGAAAGGGCUUCCCUCGUGGCGCAGCGGUUAGGAGUCCACCUGCCAAUGCAGGGGACAUAGGUUCGAGC